GAUGAACGCUGGCGGCGUGCCUAAUACAUGCAAGUAGAACGCUGAAGGAAGGAGCUUGCUCUUUCCGGAUGAGUUGCGAACGGGUGAGUAACGCGUAGGUAACCUGCCUGGUAGCGGGGGAUAACUAUUGGAAACGAUAGCUAAUACCGCAUAACAGUAGAUAUUGCAUGAUAUCUGCUUGAAAGGUGCAAUUGCAUCACUACCAGAUGGACCUGCGUUGUAUUAGCUAGUUGGUGAGGUAACGGCUCACCAAGGCGACGAUACAUAGCCGACCUGAGAGGGUGAUCGGCCACACUGGGACUGAGACACGGCCCAGACUCCUACGGGAGGCAGCAGUAGGGAAUCUUCGGCAAUGGACGGAAGUCUGACCGAGCAACGCCGCGUGAGUGAAGAAGGUUUUCGGAUCGUAAAGCUCUGUUGUAAGAGAAGAACGAGUGUGAGAGUGGAAAGUUCACACUGUGACGGUAUCUACCAGAAAGGACG
RNAcentral lists this ribosomal RNA (483 nucleotides) under Streptococcus sp. oral taxon 431. Its description in RNAcentral is "bacterial SSU rRNA". It matches the Rfam family "Bacterial small subunit ribosomal RNA", at positions 28 to 494 of the family's 1533-position model. The record is from RNAcentral. Lineage: Bacteria; Bacillati; Bacillota; Bacilli; Lactobacillales; Streptococcaceae.